This 466-nucleotide ribosomal RNA is filed under the name uncultured bacterium. Its description in RNAcentral is "partial 16S ribosomal RNA". It matches the Rfam family "Bacterial small subunit ribosomal RNA", at positions 28 to 507 of the family's 1533-position model. The record is from RNAcentral.
GACGAACGCUGGCGGCGUGCUUAACACAUGCAAGUCGAACGGAAAGGCCCAGCUUGCUGGGUACUCGAGUGGCGAACGGGUGAGUAACACGUGGGUGAUCUGCCCCUGACUUUGGGAUAAGCCUGGGAAACUGGGUCUAAUACCGGAUAUGACCUUACAUCGCAUGGUGUUUGGUGGAAAGCUUUUGCGGUUGGGGAUGGGCCCGCGGCCUAUCAGCUUGUUGGUGGGGUAAUGGCCUACCAAGGCGACGACGGGUAGCCGACCUGAGAGGGUGAUCGGCCACAUUGGGACUGAGACACGGCCCAGACUCCUACGGGAGGCAGCAGUGGGGAAUAUUGCACAAUGGGCGCAAGCCUGAUGCAGCGACGCCGCGUGAGGGAUGACGGCCUUCGGGUUGUAAACCUCUUUCACCAGGGACGAAGCGUGAGUGACGGUACCUGGAGAAGAAGCACCGGCCAACUACGUG